AGAGGGGGCAAGCGUUGUUCGGAAUUACUGGGCGUAAAGGGCGCGUAGGCGGCCCGCUAAGUCGAACGUGAAAUCCCCGAGCUCAACUCGGGAACUGCGUCCGAUACUGGCGGGCUUGAAUCCGGGAGAGGGAUGCGGAAUUCCAGGUGUAGCGGUGAAAUGCGUAGAUAUCUGGAGGAACACCGGUGGCGAAGGCGGCAUCCUGGACCGGCAUUGACGCUGAGGCGCGAAAGCUAGGGGAGCAAACGGGAUUAGAUACCCCGGUAGUCCUAGCCCUAAACGAUGAAUGCUUGGUGUGGCGGGUAUCGAUCCCUGCCGUGCCGAAGCUAACGCAUUAAGCAUUCCGCCUGGGGAGUACGGUCGCAAGGCUG
RNAcentral lists this ribosomal RNA (371 nucleotides) under uncultured bacterium. RNAcentral's name for it is "bacterial SSU rRNA". It matches the Rfam family "Bacterial small subunit ribosomal RNA", at positions 527 to 896 of the family's 1533-position model. The record is from RNAcentral.